AUGCCAUCCAGUGACUUGAUGAAGUCUGAAAACCAUACUCAGAAGGGCAGGGAAAGCUCAUGUAACCAAGAAGAAUUCAAAGUGCCUUCAUUAGAGGACUCUGCUCAGGCCCUAAACAUAACUAAAGGAAAUAUUAAUCAUGCUGUUGGCAAGUACAAAUGGAAUUCAUCCACUGACAUGCCCCAACCUAGCAACGAUGCCAUCACGGAGAAGGCUGAGGGAAACUAUAAGAAACAGGCAGCGCUGUCACUAGGUGACACCGCAAACACAGAAAAUAAUAUUAGAGGACAGAUGAAUAGCUUAAGCAACAACACGGAAAAAGAAUCAUCUACUAAUUAUUUUGUGGCACAUGGAAAUUAUCUUGUAGAAGAGAAUUGUUCUCGUAGACCUGACAGGCACCAAUUAUUGGCAUCAAAUGAACCAGCAAAGCAUGAGAAUAGUACAUCAACAGAAAGGAGUCUCCUCAGUGACAAUGGGAAGUACCAAAUUUCAGCACCAAAGUAUCUUUUGACACCUGGAAAUGGUUCUAUGGAAGAUAAUGCACAUCAUAAGCUUGACACACACCAAUUACCUACUUCAAGUGAGAUGGCAAAGUACAAAACCAAUGCCUCAGUGGAAAGGAAUACCUUGGGUGAUAUUGAAAAGAACCAUAUGCCAAUAUCGAGUUAUGCCAAGACACAGGCAAACAAUGCAACAACGACAGAACGUAUCUUGGGUGAUUUUGAAAAGAAACAAAGUACAACAUCAGAUUAUGCUAUAGCACAGGAAAAUAGGCCAAGAAUAGAGAGGACUUUAUUGAGUGAUAUUGAAAAGAACCAAAUUCCAACAUCUCAUUAUUCCAUGAUUCAAGAAAUUAGUGCAAGAGAGAAUUCUUGCCCUUGCUUAGACAAGGAACAGUUGGCUUCUACUGAAUUGGCAAAGAGAAAAAGCAACACCGAAUCAGCAAGACUUUCUAUUGGCACAGAGAAGACCUCUGACGUGGAGAGUUGUCAAGCUCCAUUAUCAAAAGUGGUAGUGAAACAAGUAGAUGUUGGUCUGGAAAAAGAGAAAAGCAUUCUAAACAAGUACCAAUUACCUUUGCCCAAUACACUUACAAAGCACAAACCUGAGAUCGCAGAGGAAGAUAACUCCAAGUUCAGUUGUGGAGAACACCGAGUAACCCUGGAAAAUGUGGGGAGGCAGGGAUAUCCCAGGAUGCAAAAGAAUAAUAGCUUGAGUAACCCAAGGAUAUCCCAGGUGCCACCACCAGAUGAUUCUGAGAUGAAGGAAAUCAAAUCUAGAAGCCAAAAGGCUACCUUCAGCAUUCCUGAAAAGCAUCAGAUACAAUCAUCAAGUGAUUUGGGAGGACCUGAAAACCUUUCUGGCAGAAUGAAGGGUGCCUGCCAAAGCUUAGAGAAGGGCCAGUUACAUUUGCCAAAUGAGGUGGCAAAGCAUGAAAAUAGUCUGGUUCAGAAAGGCAGUGCCCAAGCAGAGAAGAACCAGUUAGUACCUCCAAAGAAUGCUGAGAAGCCUCUAAGCAGCACUUCUGUAGGACAAAUGAAGUCUAUCUCCAAAUUACAGCCCAAGAACAAGAAAACAAAAGAUGACUUGGAGAAGACUGUUAGCAGUAUUACAGAUAAAAAAGAUACUUUCAACAGCAAUGAGAAAUCUCAGAGGCCAUCAUUGAGUGAUGUAAGGAAGAAAGAAAACACUACUUCAAAGUCAAAAGGUACCCAACAAAUCACAAAAAGGAUCAGUGUACCUUCCCCUGAACUUUUAGAGAAAUCUGAUUCUGUUCCUAUAGAAGGUGAAACACUGUGUCCUGAUUCCGAGAGGCCUCAAAUCCCAUCAGCCAGUGACCCAGAGAGGUAUGGAGGCUAUCCUGAGGAGGAGAAGGAAAUCUGGGGCAGAAGAGAUAAAUUGAAAGAACCAGAGAAAAAAGCAAGGUUGGCAUCUUUUGCUAAAUACAAAGCCCAAAGCUUCAGUGACCAAGCCUCCUUUGAUUUAUCAUUUAAAUCGAUGAUUGUUAGAGCAAAUGAUACAUUUACGCUCCCUAAAUAA
This 2040-nucleotide long non-coding RNA is filed under the name Phascolarctos cinereus (koala). RNAcentral describes it as "lncRNA (ENSPCIG00000031128.1)". Lineage: Eukaryota; Metazoa; Chordata; Mammalia; Diprotodontia; Phascolarctidae. The record is from RNAcentral.